Molecule: long non-coding RNA, 1891 nt
Filed under: Limulus polyphemus (Atlantic horseshoe crab)
Lineage: Eukaryota; Metazoa; Arthropoda; Merostomata; Xiphosura; Limulidae
Description: uncharacterized LOC106475257
Source: RNAcentral
UAGCUCGAAGGCCAGCAUCAGGCCCGUGUCCAAGACUUUUAUAAUAUCGAAAGAAAAGUGAUUUUUUUUUCAAACAAAGCGUAAAACAAAUCACAAAUGUGACUCCUGGCUUGUUUUAUGGUUCUUGCAGACUUUAAUCAAAAUUUUAUUUCGAGUCUAAUGCAUUGAGCGCGAGACUCUCGUGCUAUCGGCAUUAACCUUACGCGUAUUAAAAUCUACACUACUGUAGAUCAAAGCCCGAUAAAUUGAAAUUAGAAUUUGUUUUAGUUAAAACCGGAUUUCACACACGUAUGAUUCGGUAUGGCUAGUGUUCUGCCCCUAGUGGCACAGCGGCACGUCUGCGGACUUAAAACGCUAUAAACCGGGUUUAGAUACCCGCGGUGGGCAAAACACAGAUAGCCCAUUGUGUAGCUUUGUGCUUAACUUAAAAAAAUCAAAGCUAGUGAUGUGAUUAUAACCCCCAUGCCAAGCAACACCACUGGAUAUAGGCUCCUGUUUAAUCACCCUGGUUCUAAGUAACGUAACUUUUAUUCAGACUCCGUUGUCCAUAGUACAGUAUAAUAACACUUUACCAACGUCACAGUAUCUAGGACCUCACCCAAGUUGGGUCGAGGAACCAUAUAGCCAAUGACGUUUACUUACUGGUAUAAUGUAUUCCGCGCUAUUCCAGGUUUUAAUAUUCCCCUGUACAGGUAACAUUUGUAGUCUGGGGUUCUGAGAAAAUAUUACCAGUACUGUCUGCUGUUCUUUCAGCAAUUGCAAAAUGGUGGUAAAAAAAGAAAGAAAAAAUCCUUAUUAAUUAUGCUUCCAAGAUCUGAAACCAUCAGUUAAACUUGAACUGUGUCUAAAAAAAAAAAAAAGGGGUGCCAAGAUCUUCCUACCCCCUUCCGGGAUACCACUGUAUAUGGGCGGUUUUUGAACUUUAUUCACAGAUUUAAAUGGGAACUGGCACAGACACGUUAGGGAUCGCUAAAAUCCUGGUUUCGAUUCGCCUCGGUGGGACAGCCUACGGACCUACAACGCUAAUAAUCUGGGGUUCGGUUCCCCGCGGUGUACACAGCAGAUAGCCCAAUGCGGCUUUGAUCUAAAACCAACAACAACAAAAUGAGUACCUGCGUUCAGUGUUUUAAAACUGGGAACCUUCGAAUGUGGGAUCGUUAGAUUUACUGCAGGAAUUUACUUGAAAGUUGAUUGUUCGUUUGUUUGAAAUUAAGCACAAAGCAACACAAUGGGCUAUCUGUACUCUGCCCACCACGAGAAUCAAAACCGGAUUCUAGCUUUGUAAGUCCGCUGACAUGCCGCUGUGCCAAUGGGGGGCCUUGAAAGUUGAAAAGAUCGUGCAAAUUGGCGAUCAAAACAAGGCGUGCAUAGUUGUUGUUUUUUGCGGGUUUUUUUUUGUUUUUGAAGAAAUAAAUAAAGAAAAUAUACCAGUCACAGUAAUCUUAUAACCUGUUAAGAAUACAGCAAGCUUCAGUUUUCGAGUUAUUACUAAGAAUGGUACAGAAAUAAAGUGAUUAUCUCAACCCACGUACUAGAAGCGGUAAAUUAUGGUUUAUGAGAGAAUAAACUUUAUCUUUUUUCUUCAGACCAGGUCUAAAUAAUUUUUCUUUUCUUUUCAAUAUGAUCCACACUAGAUUAAUUAAAAGAGCUCGUGGUAAUCAUUGUUAAGGCUGAAAAUAUAACUCUGUUCGUUUUAUCAGGUGCUGCAUGCAUCACGACUUGUGUUACGAUAGAGCUAACGACAAAGCUUGUGAAAACUACCACAACAAAGGACCGUACGUUCUUAAAUAUGAUUGGAACGUUACAAGGUCAGGAAAAUUUGAAUGUGGUGACACCAGUAACAGCUGUGUUGGAAAAAUAUGCAAGUGUGAUAUCCAUUUAGCAAUGUGCC